GAGCAGUGAGGAGUGAAGGCCCACUUCUCUCCACAAAGGGUAGACUGAGGUUAUUCCAUGGCACAGUAUAAGGCCCUGAAUAUACAGAAAGGAAAGAUGGAGCCCAUCGAGAAGGGAGAAGAAGGACCAGCAAACAGCCAGGACAAGCUGUGUGAAAAGUGACACAGCAGGUAAAUCCAGAGAGCUCUGGGAACCAGAGGUGCCAAACAGCACAAACCAGGAGAGACCAUCAGUGGGACGGAUGCAGAAGGCUCUGGAGGAGGCAAUAAGUUCGUGGAUUCUAAACACUGUUUAACCAGGAAGUAACAGACAAGGUAGGAGGAACUCCCCGAGGUCAGGAAGCAGUGUCUAUUCAUUUGUCGUAUGGAAUCACCACACCCUUCAGUGAUGGCCAUGCUUUCCUUGUCGCCUUCUUUGAGAUUGAGUGGGCCCCACAGAACGGCGUUCCCAGAAGCCUUGGUGACUGCUCAGAUCCCAGCUGCUUUACCUGCCAGCAUCCUGAAACUCAGUAAGAUCAGAGUCCAGACCUCGUAAGAUGUUGA
Molecule: long non-coding RNA, 542 nt
Organism: Homo sapiens (human)
Lineage: Eukaryota; Metazoa; Chordata; Mammalia; Primates; Hominidae
Source: Ensembl